ACAAAAACAAACAAAAUGAAAUGUAAGUAACAAACUCCAAUCUAAUGAAACGGGAAAAUGACAAUGAGUUACAAUACAAUAAUUCAUGCACAAAGAGAAUAGAAAUAACUCAAAAAUGAAGCAAUGGAUCCAGAUUAUCCUAAUUAAAUUCCUCACACCAUAUGUUCAGAUUGAAUCAUCAUCACAUCCAUUUACGAACAUAAACGGGACAACGACUUUACCGACACAAAGAUAAAAAUUUACGCAUUACAUACUAAAACAACACGAUGCCUAAGAGUAAUCAAAGUAAAAAAAAAAGUCUCCAAUUAACCUCGAGACAAUGCUAAUGACCACAAAACAAAACGCUUGCACUUAACGGCCUCACGAACGGCAGACAUAAUCCGCUUGAACUUUUUCUUCCGGUGGAGAUGUGUUAUUCUGGAAGCGACAGAAUAAUGAAAGUUCGCGAACAUUUUAUGUGGUGGUCGAAAGUAAGAUUGACGGCGGUGUUAUGACGAUGUCGGAGGGCUUUUGCGGGUGAAGGGUGUUGUAGACGCAAGUCGAGGGUGUUGAGGCGAUGAUGUGCGGAGAACGAUUGAUGGGGAGGUCGAAACGGGAAAACGAUGGAGGGAGUAUGAAUCAAAAGCGGCGGCGGAAAAUUGUUGGUCUGGGAAACGCUAGUGAUUGUUACAAGGCCACAUCCGAAAUCAUUAUUGGUGUUGUUCUGGGAAGACGGAGGAUGACGAUGGUGAAGCAAUACACACAGAUCUGGUCCUCGCCGACGUCGGUAACAGAUGGGUUUUGUGUUGGUUGAUGAUGAUGAACGAAGAACAGGGUGAGGUUUUGUAUAAGUUGUAAUGAAGAGAGAAAAAUUUCAAACGUUUAUAUCCCCUGCCCCCUAUCGUGAAUCCUCCUGCUCAAAAAAUAAAAAGAUCCCUUUUGUUUGGUUUUUU
RNAcentral lists this long non-coding RNA (932 nucleotides) under Lathyrus oleraceus (garden pea). RNAcentral's name for it is "Pisum sativum (pea) long non-coding RNA (PSAT_LNC006582)". The record is from RNAcentral. Lineage: Eukaryota; Viridiplantae; Streptophyta; Magnoliopsida; Fabales; Fabaceae.